Molecule: ribosomal RNA, 420 nt
Filed under: Triticum aestivum (bread wheat)
Lineage: Eukaryota; Viridiplantae; Streptophyta; Magnoliopsida; Poales; Poaceae
Description: partial small subunit ribosomal RNA
Source: RNAcentral
AUGGCGGCGCUGGAGAUCGCCUUCGCCGCCAUCAGCGUCGCGGUCAUCGUCGCCAUUGCCUACUUCCUCCACACGUGCUCGCGGGAGGCCACGCCCGUGCCGAUGCCGCCGCCCCCCGGCGCGGAGGAGGCCGCCGCCGCAGCCGGCGACGUCGAGAUGCAGGCCGGGAUGGACGAGGCCGCGAUCAGCGCGCUGCCCAAGGUGGUGGUGCGCGGCGGGGCCGGGGAGGCGUCGUCGUCCUCGUCGUCCACGAGCUGCGCGGUGUGCCUGGGGGAGUACGACCGGGGAGACGUGCUGCGGGUGCUGCCGGACUGCGCGCACUCGUUCCACCGGCCGUGCGUCGACCAGUGGCUGCGCCUCCGCCCCAGCUGCCCCGUCUGCCGCACGCCGCCGGCAGCCCCCUCGCCCAGCCAAACGUGA